AAUACCGCGUAACGCCGCGGGGCUGCAUGGCCCGGCGGCCAAAAGGAAGCGAUUCCGGUGGGGGAUGGGCAUGCGGCGCAUUAGCUAGUCGGCGGGGUAACGGCCCACCGAGGCGACGAUGCGUAGGGGUUCUGAGAGGAAGGUCCCCCACACUGGUACUGAGACACGGACCAGACUCCUACGGGAGGCAGCAGUGAAGAAUAUUGGUCAAUGGGCGGGAGCCUGAACCAGCCAAGUCGCGUGAGGGAAGACGGUCCUAUGGAUUGUAAACCUCUUUUGCCGGGGAGCAACGGGGUCCUUGCGAGGGCCUAAUGAGAGUACCCGGAGAAAAAGCAUCGGCUAACUCCGUGCCAGCAGCCGCGGUAAUACGGAGGAUGCGAGCGUUAUCCGGAUUUAUUGGGUUUAAAGGGUGCGUAGGCGGGCUGUUAAGUCAGCGGUCAAAUGUCGGGGCUCAACCCCGGCCUGCCGUUGAAACUGGCGGCCUCGAGUGGGCGAGAAGUAUGCGGAAUGCGUGGUGUAGCGGUGAAAUGCAUAGAUAUCACGCAGAACUCCGAUUGCGAAGGCAGUAUACCGGCGCCCUACUGACGCUGAGGCACGAAAGCGUGGGUAUCGAACAGGAUUAGAUACCCUGGUAGUCCACGCAGUAAACGAUGAAUGCUAGCUGUCCGGUUCUACGGGACUGGGUGGCACAGC
This 693-nucleotide ribosomal RNA is filed under the name uncultured bacterium. RNAcentral's name for it is "bacterial SSU rRNA". It matches the Rfam family "Bacterial small subunit ribosomal RNA", at positions 165 to 852 of the family's 1533-position model. The record is from RNAcentral.